GAUGAAGAACGUAGCGAAAUGCGAUAAGUAAUGUGAAUUGCAGAAUUCAGUGAAUCAUCGAAUCUUUGAACGCACAUUGCGCCCGCUAGUAUUCCGGGGGGCAUGCCUGUCCGAGCGUCAUUACAACCCUCAAGCUCAGCUUGGUAUUGGGCCCCGCCGACCCGGCGGGCCCUAAAGUCAGUGGCGGUGCCGUCCGGCUCCGAGCGUAGUAAUUCUUCUCGCUCUGGAGGUCCGGUCGUGUGCUCGCCAGCAACCCCCAAUUUUUUUCAGGUUGACCUCGGAUCAGGUAGGGAUACCCGCUGAACUUAAGCAUAUCAAUAAGCGGAGGA
RNAcentral lists this unclassified non-coding RNA (329 nucleotides) under soil metagenome. RNAcentral describes it as "partial contains 5.8S ribosomal RNA, internal transcribed spacer 2, and large subunit ribosomal RNA". The stretch from base 1 to 120 matches the Rfam family "5.8S ribosomal RNA", at positions 35 to 154 of the family's 154-position model. The record is from RNAcentral.